Long non-coding RNA from Oncorhynchus tshawytscha (Chinook salmon), 371 nucleotides. The record is from Ensembl. Lineage: Eukaryota; Metazoa; Chordata; Actinopteri; Salmoniformes; Salmonidae.
CUCAAAGUCCGACGCUGGUCUGUCCUCACUCCUUAUCUCUGUGAAGAGUGGGCUGAAGGAGCCCAAAUCCACCACUGGUCUCUGGAGAAGUUCUGUCUCCUGGUCCUCUCCAUGUCACCCAAUCAGCUGCUUCGACCGGCCAUGCAGGAAGCACUGCUCUUCCUCACGGAGAACGUGCUGCUGUUGUUGCCGCGGCAACUCAAACAGUGGUACCAGUACCUGAAGCUCCCCUUCCCCACCACGGCAACCGCCUCCUGAAAAAGAAAAGGGAUCCGCCUACUUGCACUGGUGCUCUCUCUGUUCUUCACUACCUGUCUACAAUGUGGGCCUGGGACUUACAGGCCUGGGUUGAGUCUGAAAUGGCUCCUUCU